This 404-nucleotide ribosomal RNA is filed under the name Fusobacteriota bacterium. Its description in RNAcentral is "Fusobacteria bacterium partial 16S ribosomal RNA". It matches the Rfam family "Bacterial small subunit ribosomal RNA", at positions 355 to 776 of the family's 1533-position model. Lineage: Bacteria; Fusobacteriati; Fusobacteriota. The record is from RNAcentral.
UGGGGAAUAUUGCACAAUGGAGGGAACUCUGAUGCAGCGACGCCGCGUGAGUGAUGAAGGAAUUCGUUUCGUAAAACUCUGUUCUAUGGGAAGAAAAGGACUGUACCAUAGGAGAAAGCUCCGGCUAAAUACGUGCCAGCAGCCGCGGUAAUACGUAUGGAGCGAGCGUUGUCCGGAAUUAUUGGGCGUAAAGGGUGCGCAGGCGGCUUUACAAGUUGGAUGUGAAAUAUUGUGGCUCAACCACAAACGUGCAUCCAAAACUGCAAAGCUUGAGUUAAGGAGAGGUAAGUGGAAUUCCUGGUGUAGCGGUGGAAUGCGUAGAUAUCCGGAGGAAUACCGGUGGCGAAGGCGACUUACUGGACUUAAACUGACGCUCAGGCACGAAAGCGUGGGGAGCAAACAGG